AACGGGUUGUCCGAUUCUUCUGAAAAUUUAAGGGCAGAUAGAUCUUGACCUGAUAAACAAUUUUAUCCCAGUCAGAUUUGCUCUAAAUGCUUUGGUUUUUGAGUUAUAAGCCAAAACUGCAUUUUACCCUAUGUUCUAUUUUUAGCCAUGGCGGCCAUCUUGGUUGGAUGGCCGGGUCACUGGACACAUUUUUAAACUCAAUACCCCAAAAAUGAUUGUGGCCAAGUUUGGAUUAAUUUAACCCAGUAGUUUCAGAGGAGAAAUUUUUGUAAAAGAUUAUUAGAUUUACGAAAAAUGGUUAAAAAUUGACUAUAAAGGGCAAUAACUCCUAAAGGGGUCAACUGACCAUUUCGGUUAUGUUGACUUAUUUGUAAAUCUUACUUUGCUGAACAUUAUUGCUGUUUACAGUUUAUCUCUAUCUAUAAUAAUAUUCAAGAUAAUAACCCAAAACAGUAAAAUUUCCAUAAAAUUACCAAUUCAGGAGCAGCAACCCAACAACGGGUUGUCUGAUAUAUCUGAAAAUUUAAGGGCAAAUAGAUGUUGACCUGAUGAACAAUUUUACCAAUGUUAGAUUUGCUCUAAAUGCUUUGGUUUUUGAGUUAUAAGCCAAAAACUGCAUUUUACCCCUAUGUUCUAUUUUUAGCCAUGGCGGCCAUCUUGGUUGGAUGGCCAGGUCACCGGACAUACUUUUUAAACUAAAUACCCCAAAAAUGAUUGUGGCCAAGUUUGGAUUAAUUUAACCCAGUAGUUUCAGAGGAGAAGAUUUUUUGUAAAAGAUUAUUAAGAUUUACGAAAAAUGGUUAAAAAUUGACUAUAAAGGG
This 821-nucleotide long non-coding RNA is filed under the name Mytilus galloprovincialis (Mediterranean mussel). Lineage: Eukaryota; Metazoa; Mollusca; Bivalvia; Mytilida; Mytilidae. The record is from RNAcentral.